CCACACUCUGUGCAGAGCAAGGCACUUGAAGAGGCUGUUAGUUUCAGGACUGUUUCUUGACAAGGAGUGUUAUGUGUAAACAUUAGCUGGAUUCUCCCGUUCCAUCAAAGCAACUCCCUGGCUGCGCUCCCCUGCCACCAGCAGGAUCAGACAAGGAGGAAACAGCAGACUGAGUCACUGACUGAAUACACACCCCAAACAGACAGGGCGCUGCGAUGGAGAUCCUCACCACUCUCCUGCUGCUCGGGCAAGCGAUGAUUGUACAAAUACAAGAAGGUUCCUCAACAGAGACUGGAACACCCGUACUAACGAUGGAGCCAAUGUGGAGGAGAUUCUUAACGGGUGACUGGAUCAUUCUUAGAUGUGAUGCUGG
Molecule: long non-coding RNA, 373 nt
Organism: Stegostoma tigrinum
Lineage: Eukaryota; Metazoa; Chordata; Chondrichthyes; Orectolobiformes; Stegostomatidae
Exons: 4
Source: RefSeq, a predicted model, not a curated record